UCUGCAAUUCCUGGUUAACCUCCAGGAAGGACUUCCCUCUCUGUCAUUUUCAGUUUUUCAUAUUAUCCUAUUUUGAAAAAACAUUUCCUCGGGAUUCUGUUUUUCAGGCAGAAGACCUGGUUACAUGACCAGUCUGAGAUUGACCACGUUCUUGUUCUCAACACAGUCUUUCCUGAACCUUCCUGUGAUCCAGCUUUUCUCCCUUACUAUGCUUACUAUGCUUACUGACAUGUUCUCCAUAUGCACUUGACCAGCCAAAUCCAGGGCCUCCACUGAAUGUUUUCUCCUGACACGUAGGUCCUGAAGAAUCUGCAGACAACAAUUUGCAAAGAACAAUUUGCAAACCACUGCUUGAAGCCACACCUGUGAGGAGCAGCAGAGCCCGCUGAGUCUCCUGACCAACCAGCACAAUCUGUUUAAAGCUCAUGGAGUGGUGGAAGGUCAUCUUGAAGACCCGCUGCCCGCUGGACUGCAGGUAGACCUCGACACAGUCACAGGCCUGGCUGCCAGUUGUGCCGACCACUUCCAGCUGCUCCCGAGUAGCCAGUACAUAGAGCACAACAUAGCGGCAGGCACGCUUCCACUGGAUCUGGCCAAGGGUGGAGGAGACCAGGGCAUUUUUGAGGAAGAAGAGAGUCCCCGCAUAGUCAAGAAUGAAGACGUGGUCCUUGAGAAAGGGGCCCUGGAAGGUUGGCUGGGAAUGCUGAGGUCAUCAGGCAACUCUGUGGAACAGGAGGGGUCCCAGAAUAAGGGCCGGACCCCAGAACCCUGCUCUCGUAGGCGAGGACUGAGCCUGCGACAGAUGCGUCUCCACACGCCCUCAG
Molecule: long non-coding RNA, 824 nt
Organism: Artibeus jamaicensis (Jamaican fruit-eating bat)
Lineage: Eukaryota; Metazoa; Chordata; Mammalia; Chiroptera; Phyllostomidae
Exons: 5
Source: RefSeq, a predicted model, not a curated record